AUCGCGGCGAGGAGAGCCUGCCCGCGGGCGCUCUGCGCCGCCAAAACAAACCACGGGAUAAGCAUGUAGGGAUGCCGGUCGGAUCACUUCCGGACGCGGGUUCGAUUCCCGCCGCCUCCAUUU
This 123-nucleotide transfer-messenger RNA is filed under the name Deltaproteobacteria bacterium. RNAcentral's name for it is "partial transfer-messenger RNA". It matches the Rfam family "transfer-messenger RNA", at positions 250 to 374 of the family's 374-position model. From Rfam's summary of the family: Bacterial tmRNA, also known as 10Sa RNA or SsrA, is named for its dual tRNA and mRNA-like properties. Lineage: Bacteria; Pseudomonadati; Myxococcota; Myxococcia. The record is from RNAcentral.